UAUUCUGUGGGGUUCCUCAGGGGUCCAUCUUUGGACCCUUACUAUUUCUUAUAUAUAUAUAAAAAUUAUUUAUUGAAUGUUUCAAGUAUUCUUACUCCAAUAAUGUUUGCAGAUGAUACAACCUUAAUUUUCUCUCACUCAUUUUUUAAUUUAUUGAUUAAAAGUGUAAAUGAUAGUCUAAUUGCUUAUGGUAAUUGGUUUAAUUUAAAUAAAUUAUGUCUAGAUUUAAAAAAAAUCUAACUUCAUUAUUUUUAGUGGAAAAAAAUUACACCCUAAGGACUUAGCAAAAAUUACAAUUGAGUCUAUUGAGUUGCCUCAAGUGUCAACUGUAAAAUUCUUUGGAGUUUACGUUGAUGAGACUUUGAGUUGGAGGGAACAAGCUGAUUACAAAUGAAAGACUGCAACAUGGAGGUGGGAGGACAGGUAUGUUCUCCCCACACGAAGAGACCCUAAUUGUUGAUAUGCGCUGUGAGAACAAUGCCAUUAAACUGAGUAAAAUUCAACAGAAGAUCAUUGAGGACCAUGUAAAUGUUGAGGGUAUCAACAGUGUCAGCCUCUCUGCUGUUGAUCGUGUCCUCAAGCGCAACAGACUGCGCAUGAAACAGCUAUACAGAGUGCCCUUUGAUUGCAACUCAGACAGAGUCAAAUAGCAAAGAUUCCAGUAUCUACAGGUUGGCAUAUAUCCAGACACAUUCAAUGUUGAUUCAAAGUAGUGAUUUACUGUAGUGGACUAAAUCACUUUUUCCGUAACACUCACAAAACUAAGAGGGUUCUUCAACUGGAUGCAAUGGAAAGACCCCAUGAAUACGUGUACAUGUAUGAAGCUGGGUUUAAUCUCUCCCAAAAGGAGAAGGAGAGGCCGUAAUGUGAUUGGCCAUUGGAAACAAGCACAAAGAAACAAAGAAAGAAGAAAUAGCAUCAGACGGCGAAGAGUGCAGGUCAGAUUCUGCUUUUAACUUUGGUUCACAGGAACAAUUAAGUGUUGUGUACAGUGCAGAAGACAUUAAGGCAUUUUGAAAAACCACAAAAUUGCAAAGGAAAUGUUGCAAUCGAGGAGUUUUUCCCCCGACAGAAAAUGUUUAUUUAUGAUGUGAAACAUUUUAGAAGAGAAGGUGCUGUUAUUGAUGUCGAAAUCUUUAGGUUGAAGAAACUGAUAACUGCUGUAAGGUGAAUCGGGAAAACCCUGAUGAUGACCCAUAGAAUGUCUGGUGUGUUUUAUGUUGGAAAAGUUUUUACCCUUUAUUUUAUUUACAUUUUAUAAUGAAUGGGAUUCACAUUGUGACAAGAGAGUAUGUGAUAGAGUGAAAUAUAUAAAUCUGUAUAAUUAUAUAUAAAACAUAUGUGAAACAUAAAACUGGGAGAAUGUUUUAAAUGAAGGUCUUAGUGACGUUAAUAGUGUUGAGUUCAGGUUCAGUAUAUCAGUGUGUUCAGUCUCUGUGAGUGUGGUUACUGCUUCAGGUUCUUAUGAUACAGUGUCAGUGUUUAACCAGCAGAGUUCAGCAUCAUGCAGUGUUUACAACACUCAGACCUGACGAAUUGUUUAGGAGUCCAUUCCUCCAUCACUGAGCAAAUCUAAAUACAUUUUAUUACACAGAAAAAAAGCAACUCAGACACUAAAUACAUCAGCUAAAAAAAUAAAUACUAAAAGUUUAAAGCAUGUCACACAUUAGGUUCAAAUCCUACAAGAAUAUAAUAAUAAUAAUAAUCAGUAAAAAUAAAGAUUUCCCAGUUCAGAAGAAAAAAAUCACAAUUUUUGGACAUUAUUUUCUUUAUACAGUUUGAGGAAAAUAUGUAGUAAUGUGUUAUGUGGUAAUUUAAUUUCUAAAAUGAAUUUAUAAUAAUGUAUAUUAUAGUAGAAAGUUGUAGUAUGCUGUAAGUUGUAAAGUUUUAUAUUGUGUUAUGAUGUUAUAAAGUUGUAAAGGUUUGUAAGAUUUGUAGUAAGCUGAAAAAUGUCAUGGUUUAAAGUUUAAAAAGUAAUAAUAAAGACAAUGAUAAGCAGAAACAGCUGAACAGAGAGAUUAUAGACUGUAGUGUGUGUGUUAUGAGCGGUGUGUAUAAUGCAUUGUGCUAUCAGUACAACAUGAAUAAAAGUAGUAAUAAUGCUCUACAUUCUCAUAAAAAAAUAAAGCGUAUGAUUCCUUAUGAAUGCGUUAUAACAUGAAUGUCUUAAUAAUUCAUUAUAAAAAACAGCCCCAGAGAAAAAUCACCACAAAAACAAAGACACAAAAACACUUUACUGUUAACUUCAUGUUUAUUUAAGGUCAUAAACAGUGUUUAACUGACUGAAAAAUAAAGUCAGCACUGUUAGUGUAUAGCUCUUAGUGUUUAGUACAACUUUCUGAUUUUUGCUGGUUGAGAGAUGUGUGUGCUUGUUUACAGGAUGUUUUUGCUUCACUCGAUGUAUUGAUUAGAACCAGAGAGAACAUUACACCAACACACUAGCGCUCUCUGGUGGCUGUGUGGCAGUAACCCCAAUGUUUACUUUGUGUUUCUGUGUCUUGAGUAAUAAAAUACUUCAUCUCGGUUAAAUAAGAAAUAAUAAAGGUGACUGGUCCAAGAAACGUCCUGGAGCCAAUCAUUAGGAUUUCUUGUAUUACUUUAUCAUGACUAAUUAUCAUAAACAUUUUUUUAAAAAGCUGUUAUUAUCCAUAAACUUCAUUCAAAAAUCCAUAAAAUUUGCAAAACUAAUUGUAAAGCAGCUAAAAUGUUCAUUAGUUUCUAUUCAAAGAGCUUUAGUAAAAGACCAAAUCUACUACAUUGGGGAGGGGCAGCAGUGGGGGCACAAACUUUUGAGCAAUGUGCCAACCCUACAGUACAG
Molecule: long non-coding RNA, 2818 nt
Organism: Tachysurus fulvidraco (yellow catfish)
Lineage: Eukaryota; Metazoa; Chordata; Actinopteri; Siluriformes; Bagridae
Exons: 2
Source: RefSeq, a predicted model, not a curated record